AGGAUGGUGGAACAACGCUACUGACGCGACCAAUCAACGAGAUGGUUGUUCUUUUGCAAGAUAUAUAGGUAUAUGAAGAACAAACAGACUCCUCAUUCUUGUGUAAAUAGUGAUAUCUUCAAUAUCAGACGGGGAGUGUGCCGGAACGUUAUUCCGUGUUUGUGUCUAAAACUAUCGUGUGACUGCAUUACCUCCCUUGAUGAAAAAGCGGCAUGGUUCCAGAUUGAAAAGCUGUGACUUGUUUGUGACCGUUAUAUCGGAUGGUUGUACAUGUAUACCUACUAGUGACACUCUACCACAUUGUAUCCGGAGAGGCACCUCCGUAUUGUAAUAAUAGGCCCACCCAGUUUUUACGAGAUCCAAUAAAGAUGGAGCAGUAUCUUGAGGAACUCUGUUAUCUGUCUGUCCAAGUCUGAGGCAGAACAGUAAAAACU
Molecule: long non-coding RNA, 434 nt
Organism: Mizuhopecten yessoensis (Yesso scallop)
Lineage: Eukaryota; Metazoa; Mollusca; Bivalvia; Pectinida; Pectinidae
Exons: 3
Source: RefSeq, a predicted model, not a curated record